GACGAACGCUGGCGGCGUGCCUAAUACAUGCAAGUAGAACGCUGAAGGAGGAGCUUGCUUCUCUGGAUGAGUUGUGAACGGGUGAGUAACGCGUAGGUAACCUGCCUGGUAGCGGGGGAUAACUAUUGGAAACGAUAGCUAAUACCGCAUAACAGUAGAUAUCGCAUGAUAUCUACUUGAAAGGUGCAAUUGCAUCACUACCAGAUGGACCUGCGUUGUAUUAGCUAGUUGGUGAGGUAACGGCUCACCAAGGCGACGAUACAUAGCCGACCUGAGAGGGUGAUCGGCCACACUGGGACUGAGACACGGCCCAGACUCCUACGGGAGGCAGCAGUAGGGAAUCUUCGGCAAUGGACGGAAGUCUGACCGAGCAACGCCGCGUGAGUGAAGAAGGUUUUCGGAUCGUAAAGCUCUGUUGUAAGAGAAGAACGAGUGUGAGAGUGGAAAGUUCACACUGUGACGGUAUCUUACCAGAAAGGGACGGCUAACUACGUG
RNAcentral lists this ribosomal RNA (495 nucleotides) under uncultured bacterium. RNAcentral describes it as "partial 16S ribosomal RNA". It matches the Rfam family "Bacterial small subunit ribosomal RNA", at positions 28 to 507 of the family's 1533-position model. The record is from RNAcentral.